Ipomoea nil (Japanese morning glory) is the source of this 99-nucleotide long non-coding RNA. RefSeq lists it as uncharacterized. The record is from RefSeq and is a predicted model, not a curated record. The transcript has 3 exons. Lineage: Eukaryota; Viridiplantae; Streptophyta; Magnoliopsida; Solanales; Convolvulaceae.
GAUCACAAGGCAAGGGAUCCAAGACAUAUACGCUUUUUGAGCAUAUGCAAAUCAUCAAAAGUAACCAAUGAGAUCUAUAUUUAUAUAUAACCAGUUUUG